CCCCUCGUCCUGCUGUUAUCUGCCCUUUCCAAGAGUUGCCUCCCCUCCUGUUUGGAGGCUCCCUGGAGGUCCUGGAAGGCUGCAAUGAGGUCACCCUUCAUCCCUCUGUACAAAUUCAGAGGAGAAGAAAUCACAGCCUUACCGAUAGCUCCACGUGUCCCUGGUCCUGAGCAACACCUUCACACUACAGUCAGACAAAGCACUGACAUACCAUGGGAUGGCUGUUGGGCAUUUGUUCCUCACAAACACCAAAGAUUUGGCAUUUGAUCUGAAAUGAUAGCAAUUAAAAGCUCACAUUCAAAUAAUGAUAGUCAUAGAGUGGUUGGGUUGGUCAUUUAGUUCCAACCCCCCGCUGUGGGCAGGGCUGCCAGCCACCAGGUCGGUCUGCCCAGGCACCCAUCGAUCUUCCUCAUCUUCCUGACACGAGUCAAAUACAGCAACACAAACAUUUCCAACACCUCACAAUUAGAACAAGUGAGUAACGAGGACAGCACUCCUUGCAAGUGGAGGUUUGCAGAAACUCUGGUGUGCGCUUUGGCCAUCAGUUGUUUGCUGAUCUCAGAGGUCCUUUCCAGCCUCAGUGAUUGAGUUCUAUGAUUCUAUGAUGUGAAGUAUUACAGUGGAUAAAAAUGGUGAGAAAAACAAGCAAAACUGCAUACAAAUAAACUGCUCUGUAAUAUUUGCUAACACCUGCAGGAAAACCAGAUUGACUUUAGUUCUGAACUUCAAAUAUGACAAUUUUGCACAAUUCUGAGCCUCCCUUUCUCCACGUUACCUUGCUGUAUGUGCUGCCAGAGACAACGCCAUUCACCCACAGCCCAGCGCCCCCCCAGGCCUCAUGGGGAGCAGUGGGGGAAAGGGAUGGGUCCGUCUGCAGCACAGCACAGGGCCUGGGAAAGACUCUACUGCUGAGAGGAGGUGGUAGUGAGGUGGGGGGCGGCCUCUGCUCUGGGUAAGGGAGGUAGGAUGAGAGGGGACGGCCUCGGGUCGGGCCGGGGAGGGUAGUAGGAACAGUUCCUUCUCCAGAGGGAGGUGCUGGGGUCAGCGAACCGGGAG
Molecule: long non-coding RNA, 1056 nt
Filed under: Gallus gallus (chicken)
Lineage: Eukaryota; Metazoa; Chordata; Aves; Galliformes; Phasianidae
Description: lncRNA (ENSGALG00010027413.1)
Source: RNAcentral